GGUGGAAUCAUGAACUCACAGAGCAUAGGAAAAAAUGUCUCAAGGCUAAAGCAAUGUGGAAAUCAGCUCCCGAGUGUGAGAAAAAGAAAGCUGAGCAAAUAUUUCGAGAACACAAAAGACACUAUGUUCCCGCCGUUACGGGUUGUUUAGGUUUUGUUAUGCAAGAGCCUGAGUGAGGGCUGCUUUGUCUAAACGACUGCAUUUGCUAUUUUCAGGUGACCGCCCCAGACGAUUUGUAAUGAUAUGUGACGCAUGUUGAACGGCAUCAGAGCUGUCCUGAUCGGGGCGCAGUGAAGUACGGUUUGCUGAACAGUGAUUGCCACUUGGACCGAUACUGAAGCCGAAAUAUUAUUGCCGGCUAUACUGACGGUGCAGUUGGCUGUAUCACCAUACUGAGUCACUGACAUUUGUACUAAAGUCGCCUAUCGUCCCGGACGAAUUUUCUACGGUCAUCACGGUCCACACUGAUCGCUGCAAGGUGUCACUACUGAAUGAUCCCAAUACAUACUGACCGACUAA
Long non-coding RNA from Amphibalanus amphitrite, 519 nucleotides. RefSeq lists it as uncharacterized. NCBI's taxonomy places the organism in Eukaryota, Metazoa, Arthropoda, Thecostraca, Balanomorpha, Balanidae. The transcript has 2 exons. The record is from RefSeq and is a predicted model, not a curated record.